RNAcentral lists this ribosomal RNA (720 nucleotides) under Alcaligenes faecalis. RNAcentral describes it as "bacterial SSU rRNA". It matches the Rfam family "Bacterial small subunit ribosomal RNA", at positions 44 to 758 of the family's 1533-position model. RNAcentral also lists the same sequence under 1 other name. The record is from RNAcentral. Lineage: Bacteria; Pseudomonadati; Pseudomonadota; Betaproteobacteria; Burkholderiales; Alcaligenaceae.
UGGUUCCGAAAACGGGCAGCGCGAAGAGAGCUUGCUCUCUUGGCGGCGAGUGUUAGGACGGGUGAGUAAUAUAUCGGAACGUGCCCAGUAGCGGGGGAUAACUACUCGAAAGAGUGGCUAAUACCGCAUACGCCCUACGGGGGAAAGGGGGGGAUCGCAAGACCUCUCACUAUUGGAGCGGCCGAUAUCGGAUUAGCUAGUUGGUGGGGUAAAGGCUCACCAAGGCAACGAUCCGUAGCUGGUUUGAGAGGACGACCAGCCACACUGGGACUGAGACACGGCCCAGACUCCUACGGGAGGCAGCAGUGGGGAAUUUUGGACAAUGGGGGAAACCCUGAUCCAGCCAUCCCGCGUGUAUGAUGAAGGCCUUCGGGUUGUAAAGUACUUUUGGCAGAGAAGAAAAGGUAUCCCCUAAUACGGGAUACUGCUGACGGUAUCUGCAGAAUAAGCACCGGCUAACUACGUGCCAGCAGCCGCGGUAAUACGUAGGGUGCAAGCGUUAAUCGGAAUUACUGGGCGUAAAGCGUGUGUAGGCGGUUCGGAAAGAAAGAUGUGAAAUCCCAGGGCUCAACCUUGGAACUGCAUUUUUAACUGCCCGAGCUAGAGUAUGUCAGAGGGGGGUAGAAUUCCACGUGUAGCAAGUGAAAUGCGUAGAUAUGUGGAGGAAUACCCAUGGCGAAAGGCAGCCCCCUGGGAUAUUACUGACGCUCACACACGAAA